UUUCUCUGUUUGUGCUCCAUUUGUGCUCCAUUUGGGCUCUGUUUUUGCUCCAUUUGUGCUCCAUUUGGGCUCUGUUUGUGCUCCAUUUGUGCUCUGUUAGUGCUUUUGUUCAUCAUUUUAAUAUUAGUUUUUUCUUUAAUUUGUGUUGGGUGAGAAUACAGAUUAUUUUUACAAGCGACUGCAUAAUCGGGAAUUCCAAGCGUUGAUAAGACUCCUCUUACAACAUUCAAAGCCCUGGCAUCGUUGGAAUCUAAGCCACUAGAAGAUCCAGAAUUGGAAUCUAUUUGGAAGGAGAAUGUUGUGUGAAAUGAAGGAGUGUCUGUAUCAAGAUCCAACAUCCUGAUGGGAGAGUAAUACAGAGCUUUUCCAGCCUGAAAGGAAAGAUUAUGAUUAAGAUCAUUGGUACUGGGUAUCCGAUGAUGCCUUCACUUUCUUGCAGCCCUACACAGCCCAGAAACCUUAUUUCAUGAUUUAUUCAUUAUGGCCUCUGAACUCUGAAAUCUGGGAAAAGCAGUUGCUUUUAGACAUUUCUUGCAGAACCCAAUUUUCUACAGGACACUAAUUCUCAGUAUUUAACACAGCAAGGGUGAUGGGACACACGAGGACAACCACUAAACAUUAAUUAUGAGAAGAAGCCAUUCUGAGUUUGAGUAUCCCCUCUCAAUUUUUGUUCCCCGUUCUAUACAAUAGAAUGUUGUGUUAGUUGUCGCUUAUUCAGCAACAUUCCCCAGAUUUCCAUUUUUGCCUAUCAAUAGCUGGUUAAAUGUUCAGUGUUUGUGAUUAUGAUUCAGGGGAGUAACUGUUCCUGCUACACAGAAUUCAAUAAUUGGAAGUAGUUGGAAAACAACAUGGAGAUUGAGGUCAAAAGGACACCUCUUUUUUCUGCAUCAAACAAUUACAAAAAUUUCAGAGCCUUUGGUCUCAAUUGUGUUCUUCUUGCUUGAAUUUAAAUGAAUUUGAGGCUGAUUUUCCCUAUGUUUUUCAGCGUCACUUUUCAGGUUGAUCUAAACAAUGAACUUGCACGGGAACUACUUCUUACAUCCUUUGGAAUCCCAAUUAUUCACAUUUACUGUUUCAGACUGAUAAAGUAAUGUCAACAUGAACAAAUUGAAGAAAAUGGUUUCGGCUGUAUGAACACCUCUGGCAGUGCAAGACAUAGAUUGGUUCCCUUUCCAACAGCUGGAUAGUAGUGGUAUGGAACAGAAUCCAAGAUCUAAAAUUCCUGUCAAGCAGUGAGAAUAUAUUGGACUGUAUCCAUCUGUUUCAUUCUAAAUAGAACUAAGAAAACACAUUUCAGCUU
Cryptomeria japonica (Japanese cedar) is the source of this 1300-nucleotide long non-coding RNA. RefSeq lists it as uncharacterized. Lineage: Eukaryota; Viridiplantae; Streptophyta; Pinopsida; Cupressales; Cupressaceae. The transcript has 4 exons. The record is from RefSeq and is a predicted model, not a curated record.